RNAcentral lists this ribosomal RNA (494 nucleotides) under uncultured bacterium. RNAcentral describes it as "partial 16S ribosomal RNA". It matches the Rfam family "Bacterial small subunit ribosomal RNA", at positions 28 to 523 of the family's 1533-position model. The record is from RNAcentral.
GAUGAACGCUAGCGGCAGGCCUAACACAUGCAAGUCGAGGGGUAGAACACUUCGGUGUUUGAGACCGGCGCACGGGUGCGUAACGCGUAUGCAAUCUACCUUAUACAGGGGAAUAGCCCAGAGAACUUUGGAUUAAUGCCCCAUAGCAUUACGACUUCGCAUCAAGAUGUAAUUAAAGUUCCAACGGUCUAAGAUGAGCAUGCGUCCCAUUAGUUAGUUGGUAAGGUAACGGCUUACCAAGACGAUGAUGGGUAGGGGUCCUGAGAGGGAGAUCCCCCACACUGGUACUGAGACACGGACCAGACUCCUACGGGAGGCAGCAGUGAGGAAUAUUGGUCAAUGGUCGCAAGACUGAACCAGCCAUGCCGCGUGCAGGAAGACGGUCCUAUGGAUUGUAAACUGCUUUUAUACAGGAAGAAACCCUCCCACGUGUGGGAGCUUGACGGUACUGUAGGAAUAAGGAUCGGCUAACUCCGUGCCAGCAGCCGCCGCCG